CCUACGGGUGGCAGCAGUGAGGAAUAUUGGUCAAUGGCCGAAAGCCUGAACCAGCCAAGCCGCGUGAAGGACGAAGGCGCUAAGCAUUGUAAACUUCUUUUGUCUAGGGACAAAACCCGGCACGUGUGCCUGACUGCGUGUAUCCGAAGAAAAAGCAUCGGCUAACUCCGUGCCAGCAGCCGCGGUAAUACGGAGGAUGCGAGCGUUAUCCGGAUUUAUUGGGUUUAAAGGGUGCGUAGGCGGACCGUUAAGUCAGCGGUAAAAGUGCGGGGCUCAACCCCGGCGAGCCGUUGAAACUGGCAGUCUUGAGUUGGCGAGAAGUACGCGGAAUGCGCGGUGUAGCGGUGAAAUGCAUAGAUAUCGCGCAGAACUCCGAUUGCGAAGGCAGCGUACCGGCGGCAGACUGACGCUGAGGCACGAAAGCGUGGGUAUCGAACAGGAUUAGAUACCCGAGUAGUC
RNAcentral lists this ribosomal RNA (459 nucleotides) under uncultured bacterium. RNAcentral's name for it is "partial 16S ribosomal RNA". It matches the Rfam family "Bacterial small subunit ribosomal RNA", at positions 338 to 795 of the family's 1533-position model. The record is from RNAcentral.